GAUGAACGCUCGCGGCAGGCCUAACACAUGCAAGUCGAGGGAGAAGCCCUUUCGGGGGCAGAAACCGGCGCACGGGUGCGUAACGCGUAUGCAACCUACCUUUCACAGGGGGAUAGCCCGAAGAAAUUUGGAUUAAUACCCCAUAAUAUUAUUGGAUGGCAUCAUUUGAUAAUUAAAACUGCGGUGGUGAAAGAUGGGCAUGCGUCCUAUUAGCUAGUUGGAGUGGUAACGGCACCCCAAGGCUACGAUAGGUAGGGGUCCUGAGAGGGAGAUCCCCCACACUGGUACUGAGACAGGGACCAGACUCCUACGGGAGGCAGCAGUGAGGAAUAUGGGGCAAUGGUCGGAAGACUGAACCAGCCAUGCCGCGUGCAGGAAGAAUGCCUUAUGGGUUGUAAACUGCUUUUAUAUGGGAAGAAUAAGGCGUACGUGUACGUUGAUGACGGUACCAUAUGAAUAAGCAGCGGCUAACUCCGUG
RNAcentral lists this ribosomal RNA (478 nucleotides) under uncultured bacterium. RNAcentral describes it as "partial 16S ribosomal RNA". It matches the Rfam family "Bacterial small subunit ribosomal RNA", at positions 28 to 507 of the family's 1533-position model. The record is from RNAcentral.